UACGUAGGGUGCAAGCGUUAAUCGGAAUUACUGGGCGUAAAGCGUGCGCAGGCGGUUUUGUAAGUCUGACGUGAAAUCCCCGGGCUCAACCUGGGAAUUGCGUUGGAGACUGCAAGGCUAGAAUCUGGCAGAGGGGGGUAGAAUUCCACGUGUAGCAGUGAAAUGCGUAGAGAUGUGGAGGAACACCGAUGGCGAAGGCAGCCCCCUGGGUCAAGAUUGACGCACAUGCACGAAAGCGUGGGGAGCAAACAGG
RNAcentral lists this ribosomal RNA (253 nucleotides) under uncultured bacterium. RNAcentral's name for it is "partial 16S ribosomal RNA". It matches the Rfam family "Bacterial small subunit ribosomal RNA", at positions 524 to 776 of the family's 1533-position model. The record is from RNAcentral.